GGCGCCCUGCCAGAGGCGCGCUCCAGCCGCGGGCCCGCCCCCCCGGCCCUCCGAUUGGGCGUCCCCGGGGGUGUGUGGGGGGGCGGGGCGCCCGCGGGGGCCGCCGGCCGGUGGUACGGCCCAGCCACCGGCCUCCAACACCCCUCGCCGCGGCUCAAGUUUCUGCGCCCGGAGGACGCGGCCUCGGCCAAUCCCCGGGCUACAGGGCGCUUUUAAAAUGCAGGCCCAACCCCGUGCAAAUGAAUCCGGGUUUGGAGAGGGUUUCAGCUUACACUUGGGGAGGCGGCAAGCCACUCCCCCGUCCCAAGCCAGAUCAAACAGCUCCCUGGAGGUAUCCCCCAAAGGAAGCCCGUGCAGAGAGCUCCUGGAAGAGAAGAGGUGAGCAGAGGAUUCAUGAGCCCACUAGAGAAGUUGUGGAGGUGGGUACAGCCGAAGGAGCCAUCCGGCCUGCUGCUGGAGGCAAAGGGGACUCACCGAGACGUGGUCGUAAGUCGACUUCACGGCUGAGCCUGACUCUGGAAUGGCUGGCUCCAGAAAUGAGUGGGGUCACUGGGGACCUCAGCUUGGUGUCCCCAUAUUCCUGCAUGAGGAAGAUGGCCAGAGGAUAG
This 608-nucleotide long non-coding RNA is filed under the name Canis lupus familiaris (dog). RNAcentral describes it as "lncRNA (ENSCAFG00845003969.1)". The record is from RNAcentral. Lineage: Eukaryota; Metazoa; Chordata; Mammalia; Carnivora; Canidae.